UACGAAGGGGGCUAGCGUUGCUCGGAAUGACUGGGCGUAAAGGGCGCGUAGGCGGACGGCUUUGUCGGGCGUGAAAUUCCAGGGCUUAACCUUGGGGCUGCGUUCGAGACGGGUUGUCUAGAGUUUGGAAGAGGUCGUGGAAUUCCCAGUGUAGAGGUGAAAUUCGUAGAUAUUGGGAAGAACACCAGUGGCGAAGGCGGCUCUCUGGACCGUAACUGACGCUGAGGCGCGAAAGCGUGGGGAGCAAACAG
RNAcentral lists this ribosomal RNA (251 nucleotides) under uncultured bacterium. Its description in RNAcentral is "partial 16S ribosomal RNA". It matches the Rfam family "Bacterial small subunit ribosomal RNA", at positions 524 to 775 of the family's 1533-position model. The record is from RNAcentral.